GGGGAUUUAGCUCAGCGGCAUAAGCGCCUGCCUUGUAAGCAGGCCAUCAUGGGUUCGAUCCCCGGUACCG
Non-coding RNA from Cavia porcellus (domestic guinea pig), 70 nucleotides. The record is from Rfam. Lineage: Eukaryota; Metazoa; Chordata; Mammalia; Rodentia; Caviidae.